GGCGCUGUGGCUCAAAGGAGUAGGGCACUGGCCCCAUAUGCCAGAGGUGUUGGGUUCAAACCCAGCCCUGGCCA
This is a non-coding RNA of Otolemur garnettii (small-eared galago), 74 nucleotides long. The record is from Rfam. NCBI's taxonomy places the organism in Eukaryota, Metazoa, Chordata, Mammalia, Primates, Galagidae.